This 408-nucleotide ribosomal RNA is filed under the name uncultured bacterium. RNAcentral's name for it is "partial 16S ribosomal RNA". It matches the Rfam family "Bacterial small subunit ribosomal RNA", at positions 28 to 526 of the family's 1533-position model. The record is from RNAcentral.
GACGAACGCUGGCGGCGUGCUUAACACAUGCAAGUCGAACGAAGUGGCGAACGGGUGAGUAACGCGUAAUCAACCUGCCCUUCAGAGGGGGACACCAGUUGGAAACGACUGCUAAUACCGCAUACUGAAGGAGGGGAUUGCGUCUGAUUAGCUCGGUGGAGGGGUAACGGCCCACCAAGGCGAUGAUAAGUAGCCGGGCUGAGAGGAUGAACGGCCAACUUGGGACUGGGACACGGCCCAGACUCCUACGGGAGGCAGCAGUGGGGAAUCUUCCGCAAGGGACGAAAGUCUGACGGAGCAACGCCGCGUGGGUGAUGACGGCCUUCGGGUUGGAAAGCUCUGUUAAGCGGGACGCGGUACCGGAAGAGAAAGCCACGGCUAACUCCGUGCCAGCCGCCGCGGUAAUAC